UACGUAGGGACCAAGCGUUGUUCGGAUUUACUGGGCGUAAAGGGCGCGUAGGCGGCGCGGUAAGUCACUUGUGAAAUCUCUGAGCUUAACUCAGAACGGCCAAGUGAUACUGCAGUGCUAGAGUGUGGAAGGGGCAAUCGGAAUUCUUGGUGUAGCGGUGAAAUGCGUAGAUAUCAAGAGGAACACCGAUGGCGAAGGCAGGUCUCUGGGCCAUAACUGACGCUGAGAAGCGAAAGCAUGGGGAGCGAACAGG
Molecule: ribosomal RNA, 253 nt
Filed under: uncultured bacterium
Lineage: Bacteria
Description: partial 16S ribosomal RNA
Rfam family: Bacterial small subunit ribosomal RNA
Source: RNAcentral